RNAcentral lists this long non-coding RNA (450 nucleotides) under Manihot esculenta (cassava). Its description in RNAcentral is "long non-coding RNA (MESC_LNC002370)". The record is from RNAcentral. Lineage: Eukaryota; Viridiplantae; Streptophyta; Magnoliopsida; Malpighiales; Euphorbiaceae.
UGUCAUCAUCACUGUCUGUAUGAUGAUCAGCAAUGAUAGGUGCAUCAUCAGGCCGCUGCUGUGGGGACGGAGCUGGAGGUGCCCUAGGAGCAGAUGGCUGAGUGGAUGUCCCUAUACCGUGUUGUGCCAUCAUCCUAUGCAUAAACGUCUGCAACUCGUCCAGCACUGUGGUACCCAUAUCUAAAGCUCUGUAUCCCCAAGUCCCGUCGAUACCUGUGGUAUCUGCGGCUCAUGCUCUUGUCCGUCAUCUGCAUUCGCCUCCUCUUGGCUUGCACUAGAAGGUAGUCGAACUGGUCCUCUAGGCUGCUUAACCCGUCCACGUCCCCUCAUCUGUGUACAAAUAAAAAAUAAUCAAUGCCAAUAAUAAUAUAAUGUGUAGACAUUAAAUUAAAAACAUACAAACGUAGUAAGUUACUCACUGAGAAGUGAUGGAAAUAUACUACUCGAAAC